CAUAAAGAUGAUUCUGAUAUCCUGUUACGAUUUAAUGACGAUUGUUGCUCAUAUUUAUGUGUCAAGUUUUGUGAAGAAAUCAAGUUUUGGUGGCAUUAUAAAAAGACCCAAUAGUGAUUGGAUUGAUUCUAAGGGUUCAAUGGACUUUUAAAUGGCCUUCGAAGCGUCACGCUGCUGCAACCAAGAGCGAAAAUCAAUAUAAUUAUUGUCCCAG
RNAcentral lists this long non-coding RNA (214 nucleotides) under Capsicum annuum. Its description in RNAcentral is "long non-coding RNA (CANN_LNC004280)". Lineage: Eukaryota; Viridiplantae; Streptophyta; Magnoliopsida; Solanales; Solanaceae. The record is from RNAcentral.